CCUACGGGGGGCUGCAGUGGGGAAUAUUGGACAAUGGGCGAAAGCCUGAUCCAGCCAUGCCGCGUGUGUGAAGAAGGCCUUCGGGUUGUAAAGCACUUUCAGUGGGGAGAAAGCCUUGGGGCUAAUACCCUCGAGGAAGGACAUCACCCACAGAAGAAGCACCGGCUAACUCCGUGCCAGCAGCCGCGGUAAUACGGAGGGUGCGAGCGUUAAUCGGAAUUACUGGGCGUAAAGCGCGCGUAGGCGGUCUGAUAAGCCGGUUGUGAAAGCCCCGGGCUCAACCUGGGAACGGCAUCCGGAACUGUCAGGCUAGAGUGCAGGAGAGGAAGGUAGAAUUCCCGGUGUAGCGGUGAAAUGCGUAGAGAUCGGGAGGAAUACCAGUGGCGAAGGCGGCCUUCUGGACUGACACUGACGCUGAGGUGCGAAAGCGUGGGUAGCAAACAGGAUUAGAUACCCAGUAGUC
Molecule: ribosomal RNA, 463 nt
Filed under: Vreelandella stevensii
Lineage: Bacteria; Pseudomonadati; Pseudomonadota; Gammaproteobacteria; Oceanospirillales; Halomonadaceae
Description: partial 16S ribosomal RNA
Rfam family: Bacterial small subunit ribosomal RNA
Source: RNAcentral